RNAcentral lists this ribosomal RNA (253 nucleotides) under uncultured bacterium. Its description in RNAcentral is "partial 16S ribosomal RNA". It matches the Rfam family "Bacterial small subunit ribosomal RNA", at positions 524 to 776 of the family's 1533-position model. The record is from RNAcentral.
UACAGAGGUCUCAAGCGUUGUUCGGAUUCAUUGGGCGUAAAGGGUGCGUAGGCGGCGCGGUAAGUCGGGUGUGAAAUCUUGGAGCUUAACUCCGAAACUGCAUUCGAUACUGCCGUGCUUGAGGACUGGAGAGGAGACUGGAAUUUACGGUGUAGCGGUGAAAUGCGUAGAUAUCGUAAGGAAGACCAGUGGCGAAGGCGGGUCUCUGGACAGUUCCUGACGCUGAGGCACGAAGGUCAGGGGAGCAAGCGGG